Molecule: long non-coding RNA, 2404 nt
Organism: Acanthaster planci (crown-of-thorns starfish)
Lineage: Eukaryota; Metazoa; Echinodermata; Asteroidea; Valvatida; Acanthasteridae
Source: RefSeq, a predicted model, not a curated record
UGGUCAACUUUUUAUUUGAAGAAACAUUUAAGAAUAAAAAUGUCCAUUAUCAAUAUUUCAUGUUUGAAGUUCCACUACUGCUAAUCCAAAAAGAGUUUCAUACAAAUGAAGUCGACAUGGUAUACAUUUCGAAGGAAUGAAAUUCAAGGAAUUGACCUGGUCGAUGAAUGACUAAUUUCGCUUGAUUGCAUCACAAAAGUUACCUGAGCUUCAAUUUUCAAUUUCUGGUAAUACCUUUCAAACAAGGCUAAAGGAGUCAUUGGACGCACUUUCUUCCGCACUGUGCAAAAGUGCUGAUAUUUUUCAAUAGAAUUCACCAUUUUCAAUUCAAGGAUUAUUGCAUCUUACAUUCUCAUGUCCCAGGAAAGGUAUUCUUUACUAAGCAUAAAUGUGAGAAGUUUCUUGGAACGUUUCACACACCUGCCUUCAUGUUUGUCGAUCUUCACUAAGAGGAAGUUGUAGAAUUUUAUUUUAGGGGGACUCAAAGGAUACGAAACGAGGCUUGGUUCCCGAGGAGAACAUCAAGUGUAUCUCUUGCCCCCAUUUUUGUAGCAACGAAACUGAAAAAAAAUAAUGUGACAGUUAUACCAUUGUGUGUGACUUUAAACACGCGACAUUGUACUGUUAGUGAUAGUUCUGCCAUAUUGAUAUUAAAGGUGACGUUAUCUCUUCAUUUGGGGAACUUUCAGAGAGUAAAAAUAAUAGCAAAGCAAUGAAUGCACCUUUGUGAUGUUUCGAACCAGGUUCUUUUUAGAUAUUGAAGAGGGAGCUUGGAUGGAAUGUUGGUCAUAAAUAGUCUGAUACCAUCCAAAUCAACAAUUGACAGUUUGUAAAACAGAUUCAGGGAACAUGAUUAAAAACUGCUAGCUUUUAUAGUAACAAAAUCAAAACUUGUCAAAACCUUCAUAACCAUGGUCAUGUUUUCAUUGGGCUAGCUGCACUACGUCAUUUUUGUCUUUGAAACAAAAUGAGCAGAAAUAAUCUGUGUGAUCUGUUCUUCAUCUCUUGAAAUUGUUUUCUGUUUGUUUGGCUUGCUGUUCAUAGAUACUUCGCUGACUUUAUUUUAAAAUAGGUGUUCUGGAAAAAUUAAAAUUAAUGCACUUAUCAGAUGAAAGAUGUCGAUGUUUUAGUUUGAAAUUGGCUGACGUGGCUUUCUGACGUUUUCUGACUUCAUGCUAUAUUUUACCAGGCUCUUUUAGGUCAGGUCGUCUAUAUCUGCAUGGUGGCUAAAAAAAAUUCAUGGGAAAAUUAGUGAUGCCUGUAUGUGUAACUCUUACCAAUAUGUCAUUUACAUUCGACGUUGUGGGCCUGUUUGUUUCGGAUUCGGAUCGCGAUCAGGGAUCCGAGGUCGGUUCACUGAUGCCAGGAUCCACCUAGUUGGGAUCACUGAUCGAGAUCCAACUCCAUGCAAAGCAAAGAGGCCCUAUACGUUCCUGGAGCUGAUGACCGCAUAGAACGUGUGAUUUGACACUCGACAAAAGGAAACGGGGUUUAACUGCAGUGAAAUAUUGAAGGCUUAGUGCUUCUUGAGCAAAGAACCGAUGAGGAAUGAGUAUCGGACAUUUACCUAUGCAAAUUAUGACAAUAUGACAUUUACCUAUGCAAAUUAUGACAAUAUGACAUUUACCUAUGCAAAUUAUGACAAUAGGCCUAUUGUUGGAUUCCUUCGUUCAUAAUUUGCCUGAACAAUGAACUGAUUCAAGCCACAUCAGGGCUGCCACCUUUGUUACGCUUGAAUGAACACCAGGGAGUAUAGAUACCAGAAAAUCUCAAAAAACUCAUCUUUACAAGCAUUUUAGCCAACAAGUACUUUUGGCCAAGGAAAUUACCUAACGUUAAAAAACCAGGCCAUGGUUUUAAAAUUUGAAAAACCCCACUGAAUAAAAACAUGGCUAUUUUGGACUGAUAAGUUUCAUGUUAAAACUAAAGCAUUGGCUAAUUUUUUAAAAGCCAUUUUUUUCCGAAAUAUUCUUUUCAUCUGCUCCCUGGUGUUCAUUGAAGUGUAGCGAAGUUGCGGCCUCGUUGUGCCUCGAAGCUGUUCGUUAUUCAGGCAAGAUUUGGACAAAGGAAUCCAAAAAAAUAAAAUGGAUUUCUUUAACAGCCAACCUGCCACAUGGCCUGCUUCAAGCUGUUUUCUAGUCAUUUGUGGACUCGUCUACAGUCGAGAAACUUUGAAAAGUGUUCCUGUUGCCCUCAACAACACAUUGGACAUGGUUAAGGUUGAGCUUUGACCCCCCUGAGGCGGGGCCUGCAAUUCUAACCUUCCAAGAUGCGCUUCUCUGCCAAACAAGUCAUUUUGGAAGUUGCUUUAACGACUUUGUACACUGUAUCCAUUUGAUUUCCAUUGCCAUGGGAACAGCUCUCUUUCCACGAAUCUCUGCAAGUUCUCUGUGUUCCUCAAAAA